Molecule: long non-coding RNA, 1014 nt
Filed under: Mus spicilegus (steppe mouse)
Lineage: Eukaryota; Metazoa; Chordata; Mammalia; Rodentia; Muridae
Description: lncRNA (ENSMSIG00000000480.1)
Source: RNAcentral
GACUGCCUCUGCCUCUGCCUCUGCCUCUGCCUCUGCCUCUGCCUCUGCCUCUGCCUCUGCCUCUGCCUCUGCUUCCGCUGAAGGCCAGCCAGUGAAGCACCCACUCCUGCUUCCUCUGGGCUCCACCCUGUCUGGGCUCCAGAGCUCUCCCUGGGGAGUACACUCUGAGCCACAUCACCCUCUCAAGUUCUAUUCCUGCCUUGUUUUCUCCUCCCUGUGUCUUGCAUCUGAGCUGCUUUGGGGGUGAAGAAACCUUUUCGUGGAAACAGGCUGUGAGGCCCUCUGUUCCACCUGGGCUUUUCCAUGGCUGCCAAGAGGGGCCCAGCUCCUGCUCCUUCUCUUUCCCCAGCCUGAUGCUCAAGCCCUGCCAGGUCCUUGCUGCCGGGAGUACCGGGCUGGCACAUUCCAGAGAGAACACCAUUGGGUGAUGACACCUUUUAACCUGUCUUAGGGAGGAGGGUUUGGGAGACUGGACUCUGCAGGAGAACAGAAUGUCACUACAGUCAGUGACAGCGUGGAAGCCAGGAGCACCUGGUGGGGGCAUGGUCCACAUAACUGAGCUUGGACCCAAACCCUCGUUUCAGCAGCAUCAAAUGGACCCAGUCAACUCCCCCAGGCAUCGAAUGUCUGCAGGAGGAGACACAGGUGCUGAGGAUGCUGGACUCUUUUCUCUGUUCCUGAAACCUCUCCAAGGCAGUUUCCUCUUCCCUCUGCAGCAGCUGCAGCACAUUUGCAUAAAGCGCUUCUAUUGCUGAAGCUUCGGCAGACCUGAAAAUACAGAAUAAUUCCAGUAGCAUUUUUCUGGAGGGAGACUGUGGACUGAAACAGAGCACCCUGUUGCCCAGGCUCUGCAUCUUCAUUAACCGACAUGCCAGAAUACACUGCUGAAGCCACAGGAUCUAAUGACAGGAAGACAAUUGUCCUCCCCAUACAUAUACUUCUCUAACCCUGGGUGGCUUUCUAGUGUCCUUGAUCCAUCUUCCCAUCUCCUAAGUGUCAGCCCCUCAUUUUAAA